UUCUGGUGGCCUAGUGGUUAGAGCGCCCGCCUAGGAUGCUGGAGGUCAUGGGUUCGACCCCCGGUCGAGUCAU
Potamilus streckersoni is the source of this 73-nucleotide non-coding RNA. Lineage: Eukaryota; Metazoa; Mollusca; Bivalvia; Unionida; Unionidae. The record is from the annotation of a GenBank genome assembly.